This 468-nucleotide ribosomal RNA is filed under the name uncultured bacterium. RNAcentral's name for it is "partial 16S ribosomal RNA". It matches the Rfam family "Bacterial small subunit ribosomal RNA", at positions 28 to 507 of the family's 1533-position model. The record is from RNAcentral.
GACGAACGCUGGCGGCGUGCUUAACACAUGCAAGUCGAACGGAAAGGCCCUGCUUUUGUGGGGUGCUCGAGUGGCGAACGGGUGAGUAACACGUGAGUAACCUGCCCUUGACUUUGGGAUAACUUCAGGAAACUGGGGCUAAUACCGGAUAGGAGCUCCUGCUGCAUGGUGGGGGUUGGAAAGUUUCGGCGGUUGGGGAUGGACUCGCGGCUUAUCGGCUUGUUAGUGGGGUAGUGGCUUACCAAGGGUUUGACGGGUAGCCGGCCUGAGAGGGUGACCGGCCACAUUGGGACUGAGGUACGGCCCAGACUCCUACCGGAGGCAGCAGUGGGGAGUAUUGCACAGUGGGCGGAAGCCUGAUGCAGCAGCGCCGCGUGCGGGAUGACGGCCUUCGGGUUGUAAACCGCUUUCGCCUGUGACGAAGCGUGAGUGACGGUAAUGGGUAAAGAAGCACCGGCUAACUACGUG